This 451-nucleotide ribosomal RNA is filed under the name Veillonella parvula. Its description in RNAcentral is "bacterial SSU rRNA". It matches the Rfam family "Bacterial small subunit ribosomal RNA", at positions 28 to 457 of the family's 1533-position model. Lineage: Bacteria; Bacillati; Bacillota; Negativicutes; Veillonellales; Veillonellaceae. The record is from RNAcentral.
GACGAACGCGGCGGCGUGCUUAACACAUGCAAGUCGAACGAAGAGCGACGGAAGCUUGCUUCUAUCAAUCUUAGUGGCGAACGGGUGAGUAACGCGUAAUCAACCUGCCCUUCAGAGGGGGACAACAGUUGGAAACGACUGCUAAUACCGCAUACGAUCUAAUCUCGGCAUCGAGGAUAGAUGAAAGGUGGCCUCUACAUGUAAGCUAUCACUGAAGGAGGGGAUUGCGUCUGAUUAGCUAGUUGGAGGGGUAACGGCCCACCAAGGCGAUGAUCAGUAGCCGGUCUGAGAGGAUGAACGGCCACAUUGGGACUGAGACACGGCCCAGACUCCUACGGGAGGCAGCAGUGGGGAAUCUUCCGCAAUGGACGAAAGUCUGACGGAGCAACGCCGCGUGAGUGAUGACGGCCUUCGGGUUGUAAAGCUCUGUUAAUCGGGACGAAAGGCCUUC